GACGAACGCUGGCGGCGUGCUUAACACAUGCAAGUCGAACGGAAAGGCCCUGCUUGCAGGGUGCUCGAGUGGCGAACGGGUGAGUAACACGUUGGUGAUCUGCCCCUUACUUUGGGAUAAGCCUGGGAAACUGGGUCUAAUACUGGAUCGGACCAUGCUGUCGGUGGUGUGGUGGAAAGAUUAGUUUCGGUAAGGGAUGAGCUCGCGGCCUAUCAGCUUGUUGGUGGGGUGAUGGCCUACCAAGGCGUCGACGGGUAGCCGGCCUGAGAGGGUGGACGGCCACAUUGGGACUGAGGGACGGCCCAGACUCCUACGGGAGGCAGCAGUGGGGAAGAUGGCACAAUGGGCGAAAGCCUGAUGCAGCGACGCCGCGUGGGGGAGGACGGCCUUCGGGUUGUAGACUCCUUUCAGCCAUGACGAAGCCCUUGUGGUGACGGUAGUGGUAGAAGAAGCACCGGCUAACUACGUG
Molecule: ribosomal RNA, 469 nt
Filed under: uncultured bacterium
Lineage: Bacteria
Description: partial 16S ribosomal RNA
Rfam family: Bacterial small subunit ribosomal RNA
Source: RNAcentral